CAGUAGCCACGGGAAUACGGAGGGUGCAAGCGUUAUCCGGAUUUAUUGGGUUUAAAGGGUCCGUAGGCGGACUUAUAAGUCAGUGGUGAAAGCCUGUCGCUUAACGAUAGAACUGCCAUUGAUACUGUAAGUCUUGAGUAUAUUUGAGGUAGCUGGAAUAAGUAGUGUAGCGGUGAAAUGCAUAGAUAUUACUUAGAACACCAAUUGCGAAGGCAGGUUACCAAGAUAUAACUGACGCUGAGGGACGAAAGCGUGGGUAGCGAACAGGAUUAGAUACCCGUGUAGUCCCUGUCUCUUAUAC
RNAcentral lists this ribosomal RNA (301 nucleotides) under uncultured bacterium. Its description in RNAcentral is "partial 16S ribosomal RNA". It matches the Rfam family "Bacterial small subunit ribosomal RNA", at positions 509 to 807 of the family's 1533-position model. The record is from RNAcentral.